UGCAAUGUAUAAAAACUAUUCAGUGCUGGUGCUGAUGACAAGCCAUUGCGCAUGGUGAAAACUGUUCUAUGUGAACUAGUGAAGCUUCGAGGAGCUAUUAUUAAAGGUCACCUUUCAAUGGUUCCUAUUGACAAGAAGCCUCAACCAAUAAUUCUUGCUUACAUUGAUCUUAAUCUAGAGAAAGCUAUAAAAACUGCCUAACCUGCUACUAGAAGAGAAGGGUUUUCUGUCAUUCCUAAUGUAAAAUUGGAAGAUGUAGGUGGACUAGAUCUUACAAGGAAGGAACUUGAUCGAUUCAUAAUUAGGCAUUUGAAAUACCACGAGAAAUUUAAGGCUGAUAUGAACAUGUUAGAAGACGAACUACCAACAAAAAGAUGACUUUCAUCAGCCCUUGUUAAGGUAUAUUGAGAUGAUUUCUUUGGAGGAAUUCUUGACAACAUUUGUAGUUGAGGCCUUUAGAAUGGAAGAAUGUAUUUCACUAAUUUCUAUAUACAUUUCUUGUUUUGUAUUUAGUGAUAAAGGAAUCAGAAUUGGGCAUAAAUUAUGUUUUAAUAUGAUUUCUUAAGCCUAGACUAGUAGACUAAAUAUUGUAAUUACAUUUGAUUAAUUAAUAAAAAUCUAUUUAUGUUA
This is a long non-coding RNA of Humulus lupulus (European hop), 630 nucleotides long. RefSeq lists it as uncharacterized. NCBI's taxonomy places the organism in Eukaryota, Viridiplantae, Streptophyta, Magnoliopsida, Rosales, Cannabaceae. The transcript is spliced from 4 exons. The record is from RefSeq and is a predicted model, not a curated record.